This 496-nucleotide ribosomal RNA is filed under the name uncultured bacterium. Its description in RNAcentral is "partial 16S ribosomal RNA". It matches the Rfam family "Bacterial small subunit ribosomal RNA", at positions 28 to 506 of the family's 1533-position model. The record is from RNAcentral.
GAUGAACGCUGGCGGCGUGCCUAAUACAUGCAAGUCGAGUGAACAGAUGAGGAGCUUGCUCCUCUGACGUUAGCGGCGGACGGGUGAGUAACACGUGGAUAACCUACCUAUAAGACUGGGAUAACUUCGGGAAACCGGAGCUAAUACCGGAUAAUAUAUUGAACCGCAUGGUUCAAUAGUGAAAGACGGUUUUGCUGUCACUUAUAGAUGGAUCCGCGCCGCAUUAGCUAGUUGGUAAGGUAACGGCUUACCAAGGCAACGUUGAGUAGCCGACCUGAGAGGGGGAUCGGCCACACUGGACCUGAGAAACGGCCCAGACUCCUACGGGAGGCAGCAGUAGGGAAACUUCCGCAAUGGGCGAAAGCCUGACGGAGCAACGCCGCGUGGGUGAUGAAGGUCUUCGGAUCGUAAAACUCUGUUAUUAGGGAAGAACAAAUGUGUAAGUAACCAUGCACGUCUUGACGGUACCGAAUCAGAAAGCCACGGCUAACUACGU